CGAAAGCCUGACGGAGCAAUACCGCGUGGGGGAUGAAGGCUCUUGGGUUGUAAACCCCUUUUCUCAGGGAAGAAAAAAUGACGGUACCUGAGGAAUAAGCAUCGGCUAACUCCGUGCCAGCAGCCGCGGUAAUACGGAGGAUGCAAGCGUUAUCCGGAAUGAUUGGGCGUAAAGCGUCUGUAGGUGGUUUAGCAAGUCUGCCGUUAAAGGUCGGGGCUCAACUCCGAAAAGGCGGUGGAAACUGCUAGACUAGAGUGUGGUAGGGGUAGAGGGAAUUCCCGGUGUAGCGGUGAAAUGCGUAGAUAUCGGGAAGAACACCGGUGGCGAAGGCGCUCUACUGGGCCACAACUGACACUGAGGGACGAAAGCU
Molecule: ribosomal RNA, 370 nt
Filed under: uncultured cyanobacterium
Lineage: Bacteria; Bacillati; Cyanobacteriota
Description: bacterial SSU rRNA
Rfam family: Bacterial small subunit ribosomal RNA
Source: RNAcentral